RNAcentral lists this ribosomal RNA (474 nucleotides) under uncultured bacterium. RNAcentral describes it as "bacterial SSU rRNA". It matches the Rfam family "Bacterial small subunit ribosomal RNA", at positions 30 to 493 of the family's 1533-position model. The record is from RNAcentral.
AUUGAACGCUGGCGGCAGGCCUAACACAUGCAAGUCGAACGGUAGCACAGAGAGCUUGCUCUCGGGUGACGAGUGGCGGACGGGUGAGUAAUGUCUGGGAAACUGCCUGAUGGAGGGGGAUAACUACUGGAAACGGUAGCUAAUACCGCAUAACGUCGCAAGACCAAAGAGGGGGACCUUCGGGCCUCUUGCCAUCAGAUGUGCCCAGAUGGGAUUAGCUAGUAGGUGGGGUAACGGCUCACCUAGGCGACGAUCCCUAGCUGGUCUGAGAGGAUGACCAGCCACACUGGAACUGAGACACGGUCCAGACUCCUACGGGAGGCAGCAGUGGGGAAUAUUGCACAAUGGGCGCAAGCCUGAUGCAGCCAUGCCGCGUGUAUGAAGAAGGCCUUCGGGUUGUAAAGUACUUUCAGCGGGGAGGAAGGUGUUGUGGUUAAUAACCACAGCAAUUGACGUUACCCGCAGAAGAAGCAC